GUGUCUUCAUGAGUUUCCUUCAAGCACUUCACAUGGAGCAUUCUGUCUUAGAGAAAGCUUAAUUUAUUGCAUUGUGAAGUGUUUGAGGAAACUCUUGAUGAUAA
Zea mays is the source of this 104-nucleotide non-coding RNA. The record is from Rfam. NCBI's taxonomy places the organism in Eukaryota, Viridiplantae, Streptophyta, Magnoliopsida, Poales, Poaceae.